ACGGGAGGCAGCAGUGAGGAAUAUUGGUCAAUGGGCGGAAGCCUGAACCAGCCAUGUCGCGUGAAGGAAGAAGGUAUUAUGUAUUGUAAACUUCUUUAGCAGCAGAGAAAUAAGGGAGUCGUGACUCCUGAUGCUAGUAUGCUGAGAAUAAGCAUCGGCUAACUCCGUGCCAGCAGCCGCGGUCAUCCGGAGGAUGCGAGCGUUAUCCGGAUUUAUUGGGUUUAAAGGGUGCGCAGGCGGUCUUUUAAGUCAGUGGUCAAAUCGUGGUGCUAAACGCCAUCCCGCCAUUGAUACUGGGAGACUUGAGUGCGGUGGAGGUAGGCGGAAUUCGUCGUGUAGCGGUGAAAUGCAUAGAUAUGACGAAGAGCACCGAUGGCGUAGGCAGCUUACCAAGCCGUAAAUGACGCUCAUGCACGAAAGUGCGGGGAUCGAACAGGAUUAGAUACCCUGGUA
Molecule: ribosomal RNA, 453 nt
Filed under: uncultured Porphyromonadaceae bacterium
Lineage: Bacteria; Pseudomonadati; Bacteroidota; Bacteroidia; Bacteroidales; Porphyromonadaceae
Description: partial 16S ribosomal RNA
Rfam family: Bacterial small subunit ribosomal RNA
Source: RNAcentral